CCUACGGGUGGCAGCAGUGAGGAAUAUUGGUCAAUGGCCGGAAGGCUGAACCAGCCAUGCCGCGUGAAGGUCAGUGCCCUAUGGGCGUUAAACUUCUUUUGUGCGGGAGCAAUAAUGGUCACGUGUGGCCAGACGAGAGUACCGUACGCAUAAGCAUCGGCUAACUCCGUGCCAGGAGCAGCGGUAGUGCGGGGGAUGCAAGCGUUAUCCGGAUUUAUGGGGUUUAAAGGGUGCGUAGGCUGGGAGGUAAGUCAGCGGUGGAAUUCCCCGGCUCAACGGGGUGAAGUGCCAUUGAUACUGCCUGGCUGGAAUGCGGAUGACGUGGGAGGAAUGUGUGGUGUAGCGGUGAAAUGCAUAGAUAUCACACAGAACACCGAUUGCGAAGGCAUCUCACGAAUCCGCGAUUGACGCUGAUGCACGAAAGCGUGGGUAUCAAACAGGAUUAGAUACCCCAGUAGUC
Molecule: ribosomal RNA, 460 nt
Filed under: uncultured bacterium
Lineage: Bacteria
Description: partial 16S ribosomal RNA
Rfam family: Bacterial small subunit ribosomal RNA
Source: RNAcentral